RNAcentral lists this ribosomal RNA (505 nucleotides) under uncultured bacterium. RNAcentral describes it as "partial 16S ribosomal RNA". The stretch from base 20 to 328 matches the Rfam family "Bacterial small subunit ribosomal RNA", at positions 47 to 358 of the family's 1533-position model. The record is from RNAcentral.
GACGAACGCUGGCGGCGUGCUUAACACAUGCAAGUCGAACGGAAAGGCCCUGCUUGCAGGGUACUCGAGUGGCGAACGGGUGAGUAACACGUGGGUGAUCUGCCUUGCACUUCGGGAUAAGCCUGGGAAACUGGGUCUAAUACCGGAUAGGAGCCAUUUUUAGUGUGAUGGUUGGAAAGUUUUUUCGGUGUAGGAUGAGCUCGCGGCCUAUCAGCUUGUUGGUGGGGUAAUGGCCUACCAAGGCGGCGACGGGUAGCCGGCCUGAGAGGGUGGACGGCCAGAGGGGGAGGGGGAGCAGGCCCAGCAGAGGGGGGGAGGCGGCAGUGGGUAAUAGGGCACCAGGGGGUGAAGGUGGAGGCAGGGGGGGGGGGGGGGGGAUGACGCCCUUCGGGUUGUGACCUCGUGUCGCUAGGGCCGAUGCUGUUUGGCACGGUACCAGCAUAAGAACCACCGGCAAACUCCGGGCCAGCCCCCGAGGUAUAACCAGACCACCCCACAUCUCCAC